RNAcentral lists this unclassified non-coding RNA (368 nucleotides) under Hevea brasiliensis (rubber tree). Lineage: Eukaryota; Viridiplantae; Streptophyta; Magnoliopsida; Malpighiales; Euphorbiaceae. The record is from RNAcentral.
UAAACAGACAUUUAAUAUCUUCACAUAAAGAAUCGCAAAUUAACCUAAAUUUAAUUCAAAAUAUUUUAUGUUUAGCAUUGGUUAAAUAAUUCGAAUUAACUCACAAUUCAAUGAGUCUAAAAGAACUCAAAUUCAAACGAUCCAAGUAUCACUCAUAGGCAUUGCGGAUUGGUUAAACUUCAUGGGUGUCUUUUGUACGUCUACUGUCAGAAUUUUGAAUAAUCCUGUCUCUUUUGGUGCGAUGCAAGGAAGUUUUACUCACAAAGAAAGAAUUUUGAGACAGUCAAAGAAACCCUUGAUUGGCUACAUUGUUUUCGCUGGCAGAUAUGCACGGAUUCAUCACUUAUAUCCCUAGCAACAACCCUGAG